RNAcentral lists this ribosomal RNA (254 nucleotides) under uncultured bacterium. RNAcentral describes it as "partial 16S ribosomal RNA". It matches the Rfam family "Bacterial small subunit ribosomal RNA", at positions 524 to 776 of the family's 1533-position model. The record is from RNAcentral.
UACGGGGGGAGCAAGCGUUGUUCGGAUUUACUGGGCGUAAAGGGCGCGUAGGCGGUCGUGACAAGUCACUUGUGAAAUCUCCGGGCUUAACUCGGAAAGGUCAAGUGAUACUGUCGGACUAGAGUACAGAAGGGGCAACUGGAAUUCUCGGUGUAGCGGUGAAAUGCGCAGAUAUCAGGAAGAACACCUAUGGCGAAGGCAGCUCUCUGGGACGGUACUGACGCUGAGACGCGAAAGCGUGGGGAGCGAACAGG